RNAcentral lists this transfer RNA (70 nucleotides) under Hemibagrus guttatus. Its description in RNAcentral is "tRNA-Asp". It matches the Rfam family "tRNA". From Rfam's summary of the family: Transfer RNA (tRNA) molecules are approximately 80 nucleotides in length. Their secondary structure includes four short double-helical elements and three loops (D, anti-codon, and T loops). The record is from RNAcentral. Lineage: Eukaryota; Metazoa; Chordata; Actinopteri; Siluriformes; Bagridae.
AAGAUACUAGUAAAAACAAUUACACUACCUUGUCAAGGUAGAAUUGUAGGUUAAAAUCCUGCGCAUCUUA